RNAcentral lists this long non-coding RNA (2661 nucleotides) under Marmota monax (woodchuck). The record is from RNAcentral. Lineage: Eukaryota; Metazoa; Chordata; Mammalia; Rodentia; Sciuridae.
CCCCCACCCGCCGCCGUUAGGGCAUGAUCUCUAUUGCCAGUCCUUAUGUGGCCCUUGAGAUGAUCUGUAAGUCUCAAGAACCUGAUCCUAAAAGUUCUUGGAUACCUGCCUCUCCCCUUUUCCAAUAUAGCUUCAUCAGGUGGCUAAAUUUAAAAAUUCUCCCAAGACUAAUGAAUACCGCCAAUAUGUUCUUCUCUGCCAAUUACUCAAUGCCAGUGUCUUCCUGGGCAUGAAAGAGCCCUUGCAAGAGAAGGAUCUAAUAGGUACUCUGCAAAGCAGAGAACAGAGAGAGGAAAGGGUAGGAUCAGGUAAGGAGGGGGUGCAGGCAGAGAAUCAGACUGGAGGCCUGAGGUCAUUCGACUGACGACAAUCAGACAAGAAGACAUGACAGGGAGAGGAAUGUCAUAGAGGAAAUGGAGUAAAAUCAGUCUUGGCAGUAAGUAUGGGUAAGACAGGAAAGAAUUCUUCUUCAUUUCUACCCUGAUGGACAAUGGUUUAAAAGAAACACAUUACUAGUGAUGCACUUCUAACAUUUAUUAAUAAUUAGACCAAACAUGCUUGGCAGUUUUGAGUGAGGCGUUAAGGGUACAGUAUACUAACUUGGAAAGGGGUGAAUUUUUUUCAGAUCAAGAUUAAAAAAAAUGAAAGUAUUGGAAUAUCUCGCACAGAUGGUUUGGCUCUUUCUUUGACCUCUAAAAACCCUUUGAAAACACUUAAAAUAUUUUUCAUCAGGAUUCUACAUGGGAAUUUGUUUUGAAAUAUUAUAAGGAACUAUGUGAAGAACUGGCAUUACCCUAAAAAGUAAAAUAUAUAUAUUUCCAUUGUCACCCAAGAGUACUUCCCUUUCUUUUACUUUUUAUUGGAAGUGUCAUUUCUUUUUCUUUGUUUAUUGGUCUAGUUCGGUCCCAAGUACCUCCCCUUUCCUUUCCCUCCUACCAACCCUCCACCCCUCCACCCGACUCUACUGAUCUGUCUACAAUUUAUAGCCUCCCAAAUUAAUUUCUUUUGGAUGUACACAGUGGUGAGAUUUACUGUUAUAAUCAUAUAUGUUUAUAGGAAAGUUAUGUCAGAAUAAUUCCACUGUCUUUCCUUUUUCCAUCCCUCCUCCCUUCCUUUUAUUCCCCUUUGUCUACUCCACUAAACUUCUAUUCUUUUUUUAUGCCCCCCAUUGUGGAUUUGUUUUCACAUGUCAGAGAAAAUAUUAGACCUCUGGUAUUUAAGAAGCCAGUGAAUGAUUUCUAGCCCACUUCUAAAUAAUACACAGAUGCAUUUUUUUUGGUAUUUGCUCCAUUUUUCAGUUAUUUUAGCAUGGAAAAUUUUGAAAUCAUUUUUACUUUUUGAGGAUUUAAUUUGUGUUUAUCAGUAGACAAAUUCUCAAACAUUAAAUGGUAUAAUGAUUUUUACAGUUAAAAUGUUUACACAUAACAUCUUUUAACUUAAUUAUAAAACUUUGUCCAGUGGAUACUAUUACACAGUAAAGAGAGUAAUUCAGGCUGAGAUACUGGUUAUAAUUAUCCCUAUGUACAGAAAAGCAACCUGUGGCCCAGUGGAGUUAAGUACCUCAGAAUGAAAAUUUUGGGCUGGGGUUGUGGCUCAGUGGCAGAAUGCUUGACUAGCAUGUGUGAGGCACUGGGUUUGAUUCUCAGCACUGUAUAUCAACAAAUAAAAGAUUCAUUGACAAUUAAAAAAAUAUUUUUUAAAAUGGAAAUUUUAUGAGAAGUCACCACCAGCACCCAGUAGUCUUGUAUAUUUUUUAAGAUAGAGGCUCUCAUACACACUGAUCAUGUAUCAAAGAUGGAAUUUAUGAAUGAGGGAGCCAUAAGCAUUUCAAAGCUAGUUGGAAGGAUAUGAGAAAAUGAUACACACAGAUUCUAUGUGGAAAAAAUACUUUAAAAAUAAUGAAGCACAUUGGGAUACUGUGUUUACAAAACUGAAUGACAUUCUCUAAAGCAAGAAAACCAUAACUCUUAAAGUUACAUUUUAUAUUAAAUAUAAAAUAUAUGCAACUUUUAAAUCUUUUCUAACAACACAACUUCAGAGACUUUGGUUACAAAUCAGUACCAGUAGUAAGUCAAAGUUAUCUUCCUUUGUAGCAGAGAUCAGCUAUUUUUUUUUUGUAUGGGGCCAUAUAAAAAUAUUUAAAAAUUGUCUCUUUAAAAUGUAUCCAACAAUAUCAUGGUAUUAUGAAAAUAACUACAUGAGUAUAAUUGUGUUCACUUUAAUUUUAUUACAUAUGAAUGUCUAUGUUUAAGUGAUGCAUAAAUAAAUUAUGACAGCAAAAGAGUUUAUGUUAAAAUAUUAUCAGGUACUUCUGUAGUAUCCUAUCUGGUACAUAGAGAAAGUAAUCUGUUACUAACUAGGGGGUGUAUAGCAGAUUAUUUUCAUUUUUAUAAAACUUAUGCUUGGACACUUAUCUAAUUAUUAACUGAGAUCCUACCAAUGGUGAUGUAUUACAAGUGAUGUCUCUUUAUAAUAUUCUAUUUUACAUAGUACUAUUAAAAAUGUAUUGUAUCUGUGUUUUAAAAAAGUUUAAAAUUCUAGGCUGGGGUUGUAGCUCAGUGGUAGAGAGCUUGCCUAGCACAUGUGAAGCACUGGGUUUGAUUCUUAGCACCACAUGUAAACAAAUAAAGAUCCAUUGACAACUAAUAAAAUAUUAAAAAA